This 118-nucleotide ribosomal RNA is filed under the name Cyanobacterium sp. HL-69. The record is from RNAcentral. Lineage: Bacteria; Bacillati; Cyanobacteriota; Cyanophyceae; Chroococcales; Geminocystaceae.
GCAGGUGUAUCUAGCGUUGUGGAACCACUACGACUCCAUCCCGAACUCGUGGGUGAAACACAGCAGCAGCGACGAUACUACGGGGGUAGCCCCUUGGGACAAUAGUUCUAUGCCUGCC